This is a non-coding RNA of Acetobacteraceae bacterium SCN 69-10, 290 nucleotides long. The record is from Rfam. NCBI's taxonomy places the organism in Bacteria, Pseudomonadati, Pseudomonadota, Alphaproteobacteria, Acetobacterales, Acetobacteraceae.
CUUCCUCGACCUGUUGCGGGCAGAUGAAGUGGAUAUGGGCGUCGAUGCCGCCGGCGGUGAGGAUCUUGCCUUCGCCGGCGAUGAUUUCGGUGCCGGGGCCGAUGAUGAUGGUGACGCCGGGCUGGAUGUCGGGGUUGCCGGCCUUGCCGAUGGCGGCGAUGCGGCCGUUGAUGAUCGAGACAUCGGCUUUGACGAUGCCCCAGUGGUCGAUGAUCAGCGCGUUGGUGAUGACGGUGUCGGCGGCGCCCUCGGCCUGGGAGGCUUGGGACUGGCCCAUGCCGUCGCGGAUG